ACGGGAGGCAGCAGUGAGGAAUAUUGGUCAAUGGGCGGAAGCCUGAACCAGCCAAGUCGCGUGAAGGAUGAAGGUAUUAUGUAUUGUAAACUUCUUUAGCAGCAGAGUAAUAAGGUCCUCGAGAGGGCUGAUGCAAGUAUGCUGAAAAUAAGGAUCGGCUAACUCCGUGCCAGCAGCCGCGGUAAUACGGAGGAUCCGAGCGUUAUCCGGAUUUAUUGGGUUUAAAGGGUGCGCAGGCGGCUUUUUAAGUCAGCGGUAAAAUCGUGGGGCUCAACCCCAGCCUGCCGUUGAUACUGGAGAGCUUGAUUGCGGUCGAGGUUGGCGGAAUUCGUCGUGUAGCGGUGAAAUGCAUAGAUAUGACGAAGAACACCGAUUGCGUAGGCAGCUGACCAGGCCGUAAAUGACGCUCAUGCACGAAAGUGCGGGGAUCGAACAGGAUUAGAUACCCUGGUA
This 453-nucleotide ribosomal RNA is filed under the name uncultured Porphyromonadaceae bacterium. Its description in RNAcentral is "partial 16S ribosomal RNA". It matches the Rfam family "Bacterial small subunit ribosomal RNA", at positions 341 to 792 of the family's 1533-position model. The record is from RNAcentral. Lineage: Bacteria; Pseudomonadati; Bacteroidota; Bacteroidia; Bacteroidales; Porphyromonadaceae.